AGGCAGCAGUGGGGAAUAUUGCACAAUGGGGGAAACCCUGAUGCAGCGACGCCGCGUGAGUGAAGAAGUAUUUCGGUAUGUAAAGCUCUAUCAGCAGGGAAGAAGAAAGACGGUACCUGACUAAGAAGCCCCGGCUAACUACGUGCC
This 147-nucleotide ribosomal RNA is filed under the name uncultured bacterium. Its description in RNAcentral is "partial 16S ribosomal RNA". It matches the Rfam family "Bacterial small subunit ribosomal RNA", at positions 346 to 509 of the family's 1533-position model. The record is from RNAcentral.